AGUGGAUGGGGAGCAACCUAGUUGUGCGUGUGUAAAGGUAGUGCCAAGAAAAGCGGUGAUCAUGAUGAAAAUCAAUUCCCGGUACCCGAAACCGACACAGGUGGGCAAGUAGAGAAUACUAAGGGGCGCGAGGUAACUCUCUCCAAGGAACUGCAAAAUGACCCCGUAACUUAGGGAGAAGGGGUGCCACCGAGAGGUGGUCGCAGUGAAGAGGCCCAGGCGACUGUUUAGCAAAAACAUAGGUCUCUGCAAACUCGAAAGAGGAGGUAUAGGGGCUGACGCCUGCCCAGUGCCGGAAGGUUAAAGAAGUUGGUCAGUCUAGGAUGAAGCUAGCGACUGAAGCCCCGGUGAACGGCGGCCGUAACUAUAACGGUCCUAAGGUAGCGAAAUUCCUUGUCGGGUAAGUUCCGACCCGCACGAAAGGCGUAACGAUCUGGGCGCUGUCUCGGAGAGAGGCUCGGCGAAAUAGGAUUGUCUGUGAAGAUACGGACUACCUGCAUUUGGACAGAAAGACCCUAUGAAGCUUUACUAUAGCUUGGGAUUGUGUUCGGGCUUCCUGUGCGCAGGAUAGGUGGGAGGCGUAGAAGGUAUUCUUGUGGGGAUACUGGAGCCAACGGUGAGAUACCACUCUCAGGAGGCUAGAAUUCUAACUUAACUAAGGACAGUUUCAGGUGGGUAGUUUGACUGGGGCGGUCGCCUCCAAAAAGGUAACGGAGGCGUACAAAGGUUCCCUCAGACUGGUUGGAAAUCAGUCGAAGAGUGCAAAGGCAGAAGGGAGCUUGACUGCGAGAAGUACAGUUCGAGCAGGGUGGAAACACGGUCUUAGUGAUCCGACGGUGCUGUGUGGAAGGGCCGUCGCUCAACGGAUAAAAGUUACUCUAGGAUAACAGGCUGAUCUCCCCCAAGAGUUCACAUCGACGGGGAGGUUUGGCACCUCGAUGUCGGCUCAUCGCAACCUGGGGCGGAAGUACGUCCCAAGGGUUGGGCUGUUCGCCCAUUAAAGCGGUACGUGAGCUGGGUUCAGAACGUCGUGAGACAGUUCGGUCCAUAUCCGAUGUAGGCGUGAGAAUAUUGAGAGGAGCCUUCCUUAGUACGAGAGGACCGGGAAGGACGCACCGCUGGUGUACCUGUUAUGAUGCCAAUUGUAAACGCAGGGUAGCCAAGUGCGGAGAGGAUAACCGCUGAAAGCAUCUAAGUGGGAAGCCCACCUCAAGAUGAGUAUUCUGGUGUAAGGUCACGGGAAGACGACCCGUAAAUAGGCACGAGGUGGAAGUGCAGAGAUGUAUGAAGCCGAAGUGUACUAAUAGACCGUCGGCUUGA
Molecule: ribosomal RNA, 1320 nt
Filed under: metagenome
Description: bacterial LSU rRNA
Rfam family: Bacterial large subunit ribosomal RNA
Source: RNAcentral